Molecule: ribosomal RNA, 933 nt
Filed under: uncultured Chromatiaceae bacterium
Lineage: Bacteria; Pseudomonadati; Pseudomonadota; Gammaproteobacteria; Chromatiales; Chromatiaceae
Description: bacterial SSU rRNA
Rfam family: Bacterial small subunit ribosomal RNA
Source: RNAcentral
UACACAUGCAAGUCGAGCGGGGUUUUCGGACCUAGCGGCGGACGGGUGAGUAAUGCGUAGGAAGCUACCCGAUAGAGGGGGAUACCAGUUGGAAACGACUGUUAAUACCGCAUAAUGUCUACGGACCAAAGUGUGGGACCUUCGGGCCACAUGCUAUCGGAUGCGCCUACGUGGGAUUAGCUAGUUGGUGAGGUAAUGGCUCACCAAGGCGACGAUCUCUAGCUGGUUUGAGAGGAUGAUCAGCCACACUGGAACUGAGACACGGUCCAGACUCCUACGGGAGGCAGCAGUGGGGAAUAUUGGACAAUGGGCGCAAGCCUGAUCCAGCCAUGCCGCGUGUGUGAAGAAGGCCUUAGGGUUGUAAAGCACUUUCAGCGAGGAGGAAGGGAGUUGUGUUAAUAGCACGGCUUUUUGACGUUACUCGCAGAAGAAGCACCGGCUAACUCUGUGCCAGCAGCCGCGGUAAUACAGAGGGUGCAAGCGUUAAUCGGAAUUACUGGGCGUAAAGCGCACGCAGGCGGUUGGUUAAGUCAGAUGUGAAAGCCCCGGGCUCAACCUGGGAAUUGCAUUUGAAACUGGCCAACUAGAGUAUGUGAGAGGGGGGUAGAAUUCCAAGUGUAGCGGUGAAAUGCGUAGAGAUUUGGAGGAAUACCAGUGGCGAAGGCGGCCCCCUGGCACAAUACUGACGCUCAGGUGCGAAAGCGUGGGGAGCAAACAGGAUUAGAUACCCUGGUAGUCCACGCCGUAAACGAUGUCUACUAGCUGUUCGUGGUCUUGUACUGUGAGUAGCGCAGCUAACGCACUAAGUAGACCGCCUGGGGAGUACGGUCGCAAGAUUAAAACUCAAAUGAAUUGACGGGGGCCCGCACAAGCGGUGGAGCAUGUGGUUUAAUUCGACGCAACGCGAAGAACCUUACCUACUCUUGACAUCUA